CCUCCUUUUUCUUUCCUUUCUUUGCCUCCUCUUUUUCUUCUUCUUCUUCUUGUUCCUCUUCAUCUUGUCCCUUGUUUUUCUCAUCAUCCUUUGUCCCUUCUCCCCCUCCUCCUCCUGCUUCUUCUUCUUCUUCUUCUUCUUCUUCUUCUUCUUCUUCUUCUUCUUCUUCUUCAAGCUUCUUCUUGGAGUUGGCAUCAUUGUCAUCCUUAUUGUCAGAUGUAGAUAUAUAUGAUUCGAACCUCAUGUUGGAUGAGUCAAAAUCAUAAAACACUGCUCCAUG
Molecule: long non-coding RNA, 280 nt
Filed under: Elaeis guineensis (African oil palm)
Lineage: Eukaryota; Viridiplantae; Streptophyta; Magnoliopsida; Arecales; Arecaceae
Description: long non-coding RNA (EGUI_LNC041427)
Source: RNAcentral